This 492-nucleotide ribosomal RNA is filed under the name uncultured bacterium. Its description in RNAcentral is "partial 16S ribosomal RNA". It matches the Rfam family "Bacterial small subunit ribosomal RNA", at positions 29 to 507 of the family's 1533-position model. The record is from RNAcentral.
AGUGAACGCUGGCGGUAGGCCUAACACAUGCAAGUCGAACGGCAGCACAGUAAGAGCUUGCUCUUACGGGUGGCGAGUGGCGGACGGGUGAGGAAUACAUCGGAAUCUACUUUUUCGUGGGGGAUAACGUAGGGAAACUUACGCUAAUACCGCAUACGACCUACGGGUGAAAGCAGGGGAUCUUCGGACCUUGCGCGAUUGAAUGAGCCGAUGUCGGAUUAGCUAGUUGGCGGGGUAAAGGCCCACCAAGGCGACGAUCCGUAGCUGGUCUGAGAGGAUGAUCAGCCACACUGGAACUGAGACACGGUCCAGACUCCUACGGGAGGCAGGAUUGGGGAAUAUUGGACAAUGGGCGGAAGCCUGAUCCAGCCAGACCGCGUGGGUGAAGAAGGCCUUCGGGUUGGAAAGCCCUUUUGUUGGGAAAGAAAAGCAGCAGGUUAAUACCCCGCUGUUCUGACGGUACCCAAAGAAUAAGCACCGGCUAACUUCGUG